GGUGUGACUGCGUACCUUUUGUAUAAUGGGUCAGCGACUUAUAUUCUGUAGCAAGGUUAACCGUAUAGGGGAGCCGCAGGGAAACCGAGUCUUAACUGGGCGUUAAGUUGCAGGGUAUAGACCCGAAACCCGGUGAUCUAGCCAUGGGCAGGUUGAAGGUUGGGUAACACUAACUGGAGGACCGAACCGACUAAUGUUGAAAAAUUAGCGGAUGACUUGUGGCUGGGGGUGAAAGGCCAAUCAAACCGGGAGAUAGCUGGUUCUCCCCGAAAGCUAUUUAGGUAGCGCCUCGUGAACUCAUCUUCGGGGGUAGAGCACUGUUUCGGCUAGGGGGUCAUCCCGACUUACCAACCCGAUGCAAACUACGAAUACCGAAGAAUGUUAUCACGGGAGACACACGGCGGG
RNAcentral lists this ribosomal RNA (405 nucleotides) under Klebsiella quasipneumoniae subsp. quasipneumoniae. Its description in RNAcentral is "partial 23S ribosomal RNA". It matches the Rfam family "Bacterial large subunit ribosomal RNA", at positions 590 to 995 of the family's 2925-position model. The record is from RNAcentral. Lineage: Bacteria; Pseudomonadati; Pseudomonadota; Gammaproteobacteria; Enterobacterales; Enterobacteriaceae.